Molecule: ribosomal RNA, 134 nt
Filed under: Escherichia coli
Lineage: Bacteria; Pseudomonadati; Pseudomonadota; Gammaproteobacteria; Enterobacterales; Enterobacteriaceae
Also listed under: 2 other names
Description: partial 23S ribosomal RNA
Rfam family: Bacterial large subunit ribosomal RNA
Source: RNAcentral
GGUUAAGCGACUAAGCGUACACGGUGGAUGCCCUGGCAGUCAGAGGCGAUGAAGGACGUGCUAAUCUGCGAUAAGCGUCGGUAAGGUGAUAUGAACCGUUAUAACCGGCGAUUUCCGAAUGGGGAAACCCAGUG